Molecule: ribosomal RNA, 397 nt
Filed under: uncultured bacterium SA23
Lineage: Bacteria
Description: partial 16S ribosomal RNA
Source: RNAcentral
GCAGGUUCCCCUACGGCUACCUUGUUACGACUUCACCCCAGUCACGAACCCUGCCGUGGUAAUCGCCCUCCUUGCGGUUAGGCUAACUACUUCUGGCAGAACCCGCUCCCAUGGUGUGACGGGCGGUGUGUACAAGACCCGGGAACGUAUUCACCGCGACAUGCUGAUCCGCGAUUACUAGCGAUUCCGACUUCACGCAGUCGAGUUGCAGACUGCGAUCCGGACUACGAUCGGCUUUCUGAGAUUGGCUCCCCCUCGCGGGUUGGCAACCCUCUGAACCGACCAUUGUAUGACGUGUGAAGCCCUACCCAUAAGGGCCAUGAGGACUUGACGUCAUCCCCACCUUCCUCCUGGUUUGUCACCGGCAGUCUCAUUAAAGUGCCCAACUCUAGAUGAU